Molecule: ribosomal RNA, 498 nt
Filed under: uncultured bacterium
Lineage: Bacteria
Description: partial 16S ribosomal RNA
Rfam family: Bacterial small subunit ribosomal RNA
Source: RNAcentral
AGCGAACGCUGGCGGCGUGCCUAACACAUGCAAGUCGAACGUGAAAAGGGAAACCUGAGUAAAGUGGCGUACGGGUGAGUAACGCGUAGGUAAUCUACCCCAGAAUCUGGAAUAACCUGCCGAAAGGCGGGCUAAUACUGGGUAGAGCGAGGGAACUCGUAAGAGAGUUUUUCGGGAAAGGGAGCCCGCAAGGGCCUUCGUUCUGGGAUGAGCCUGCGUCUCAUUAGCUAGUUGGUAAGGUAACGGCUUACCAAGGCGAUGAUGAGUAGCUGGUCUGAGAGGAUGAUCAGCCACACUGGAACUGAAACACGGUCCAGACUCCUACGGGAGGCAGCAGUGGGGAAUCUUGCGCAAUGGACGAAAGUCUGACGCAGCCACGCCGCGUGAGUGAAGAAGGCCUUCGGGUUGUAAAGCUCUGUCGGAUGGGACGAACAUCUUCAUAGUGAAUAGCUAUGAGGACUGACGGUACCAUCAAAGGAAGCACCGGCUAACUCCGUG